Dreissena polymorpha is the source of this 1998-nucleotide long non-coding RNA. RefSeq lists it as uncharacterized. Lineage: Eukaryota; Metazoa; Mollusca; Bivalvia; Myida; Dreissenidae. The record is from RefSeq and is a predicted model, not a curated record. The transcript is spliced from 3 exons.
GAUCAAUGUGCGGGAACAAAAACUGUCACAUGACCACAAAUGCGAACGACCACGGCUAUUUUUCGGAUAAAACGUCAAUCGAAGAUGGAUCGCUCAGACCCACAUAUAUGCCGCUAUUGUGGCAACGUACUUAAAAGCAAGUCGUCUCUGCGCCAGCAUGAGAUUAGUCACACAGGGACUGGGAAGGGAUAUACAUGCUGCGAUAAAGUGUUCUUCAGCAAGGCGAAUCUGAACAGGCACAGAUGCCAUGUACAUGGCGAAGAGAAGGCAUUCGUGUGUACCAAGUGCAGUUAGUCAUUUCCUACAAAUGCUGACCUGCAGAAGCACAUGCGGCGGGAAAAUGGGCAGACAAUUGCGUGUGAUAAAUGUGGCGUACGUUUUGCUGAGAAUUCCAAUUUAAAGGCACACAUAGAUAUGCACAACGAAGAACAUAACUUGAAAUGCUUGAAGUGUGACAAAGUAUUCCGGCAUCGAAGUAGCCUGUCUCGUCACAUGAAAGUACACAGCAGUAAUUAAGCGACGCCAAGUGUACAGUUCGCCAAUCAUGCAUUUGUAUUGUGCUGUCCGUGAAGUGAUUAUGUGUAGUUACAUACAUUUUAUACAUGGUCCUUUUACCCGUCCAAACACAGUUUGUGUGGUAUAUUGGAGUUUGUUGUGUAUUAAAAUGAAACUUUUUAAAUGAGUUUUAUAAUAUAUACAAUACUUCGUUUUGGUGUAUGUCAUGCUAUUUAUUGCAGAGUUGUCCCCUCUCACUUAGGUAAAUUCUCUUGUUUUACCUUGUUCACGAUACCUGCAUCAUUGUACAUGCGAACUUAACAACAAACAAUUAUGUGCAUCAAACUGAAACUUCAUAGUUCUGUUGUUCAUACUUUGUAUAAGUACAAGACGUAAUUUUUGUGGAUGCAACACUAUUUUAUAGGGACAAAUUUUCGGCUUAUACAGUUUUAAAAAAUAUUAAAAUUAUUGCUUAAAACGUAGAUAUCUUGUUGAUAGUCACUUAGUAGCAUAUAUAUUUCAAUAAUUAUACAUAGUUUUCAAUGGGAUAUUUUAGCGACUGCGGCAACAUUGUAGAAGCUUAUAGUAAUAUAAUGUACAUGGAAAUACCUCCAAGCCGGUAGAUACCGGACUUGUAAAUAUACUUUGAUGUGAUGCAAUCGGAUUCCAUAAGUGUGAGUUUUAAUCAAACAGAGGACGUGUUGGUUAAUCAAUAUUUUAGCUGUUAUAAUUUUUAACGAUUCAAUCAACAUAGUAUUGCUUUUUGUGGUAUAUACCUUACAAUCAUUGUAUUUUAUAUAUGUAUUUAUAGAGGGGUAACCGUCGAUAUGUCCAUUUAUUCAGAGUAAUGCUCCAUGAAACUAGGCGACUAAAUUCGAAUAUCUACGUCUAAAAUCUAAUCUUUGUGUGUGAUCAAUGUGUACUCGGAACACAAUUUUGGCAUCAACAUUGUUUUUCACCUGCUUGAAAGAAGCCAUUUCGUGGGUAUUUUUCAUCUUCAUUUACGAGUUGUUUGCUGUUUUUCUAGUGACAUAGUAUUUGUUAUAAAUUGGUGCUUGUGAUAAAUCAUUUAUAAAGACCUUGUUCUGUAGUUCAUGUUUCGUUUGUAAAUGUUUUUUUAUGCGUUAACGAUAAAGAUGUUGUAGAUUAAUUAAAAUAGUUUAUACAAUUUGUUAUGCUCAUUUGAAGUAUAAAUGAGUCACACGAUACAGAAACCUGAUUAAUACAGAUAUUAUAUAAACAAUUCUAGUCAAAAGUUUCAACACAAUUUGAUUGAUGGUUUGCUUUUGUAUUAUAUAAAUGCAUACUUGAUGUUCCAUAUGGCGAAGUCAUUAAUGUGAUGAUUUAUGACUAUUUACACUCAGUGCUAUUAUUUUUAUGUUCUGUGAUAAUGUGUUCAGGAAAACAUAAGUAUACAUUUUAGACUGACAGUUUUAUGUUUGCAAAUAUCCGCACUGUGAUCUUUGUCUUUGAUUAUUUUUUUAUAAUAAAUUGUUAAUCAGA